UUUGGAGGGCAAGUCUGGUGCCAGCAGCCGCGGUAAUUCCAGCUCCAAUAGCGUAUAUUAAAGUUGUUGCAGUUAAAAAGCUCGUAGUUGAAUUUCGGGAUGAUCAGGUUGGUCGUGCCAUUGGUAUGUACUAGCUUUGGUGGUUCCUACCUCUUGAAGAACCGUAAUGUCAUUAACUUGGUGUUGCGGGGAAUCAGGACUGUUACUUUGAAAAAAUUAGAGUGUUUAAAGCAGGCAAACGCUUGAAUACAUUAGCAUGGAAUAAUGAAAUAGGACGUUUGAUCUUAUUUUGUUGGUUUCUAGGAUCGACGUAAUGAUUAAUAGGGAUAGUUGGGGGCAUUAGUAUUCAAUUGUCAGAGGUGAAAUUCUUGGAUUUAUUGAAGACUAACUACUGCGAAAGCAUUUGCCAAGGAUGUUUUCAUUAAUCAAGAACGAAAGUUAGGGGAUCGAAGACGAUCAGAUACCGUCGUAGUCUUAACCAUAAACUAUGCCGACUAGGGAUCGGAUGAUGUUAAUUUUUUAAUGACUCAUUCGGCGCCUUACGGGAAACA
RNAcentral lists this ribosomal RNA (551 nucleotides) under uncultured Glomus. Its description in RNAcentral is "SSU rRNA". It matches the Rfam family "Eukaryotic small subunit ribosomal RNA", at positions 547 to 1099 of the family's 1831-position model. Lineage: Eukaryota; Fungi; Glomeromycota; Glomeromycetes; Glomerales; Glomeraceae. The record is from RNAcentral.